GACGGAGGAUGCAAGCGUUAUCCGGAAUGAUUGGGCGUAAAGCGUCCGCAGGUGGCUGUUCAAGUCUGCUGUCAAAGACCGGGGCUUAACUUCGGAAAGGCAGUGGAAACUGAACAGCUAGAGUAUGGUAGGGGCAGAGGGAAUUCCUGGUGUAGCGGUGAAAUGCGUAGAGAUCAGGAAGAACAUCGGUGGCGAAGGCGCUCUGCUGGACCAUAACUGACACUCAGGGACGAAAGCUAGGGGAGCGAAUGGG
RNAcentral lists this ribosomal RNA (253 nucleotides) under uncultured bacterium. RNAcentral's name for it is "partial 16S ribosomal RNA". It matches the Rfam family "Bacterial small subunit ribosomal RNA", at positions 524 to 776 of the family's 1533-position model. The record is from RNAcentral.